ACAGAAACUUAUUUAGUAUUUUUACUUCUAACCUGAGGAUCAAGAGUGGAAGUGAACUGAUAAAUUAUGCUAGUGACACAAAGCUGAGUGGCAUUGCCUUUGCAGAGGAGGAUCAAAAUAUCACACAGGACCAGCUGGAUCACUGAGGGCAGAAAAAAAAAAAAAAAAAAAGGAUGAAGUUAAAUAGCAUAAAGUUCAAGGUCACAUAGUCUCAGACCAGCAAGAAUUUCUGCCAAGAAUUAGCAACCUGUGUCUUGGAAACAGCUGAAGAGAAGGAAGAGACUUGAGGCUACUCUCCCAUCGCAGCCUAAUCCAAAGAAGUGCUGGGAAAGUGUGGUAUUGCAGAAGCUGUUAUAGAGAGAUUUUAAGUUUCCAUGGAAAUAAUUAGUUUACUUUCAGAGCAACUUAUGGAUAUGUUCUUCACUCAAUGCAGCCCAGGCAAGCCAAAGGGUUGGACACCCAUGAGCCAGAACAACUCUUCCCUUUCUCUCAUGAUCUUUUGAUGAGACAAACACUCCUCCUGUACCAGGGAAGCACAGAGUUGAUUGACUUGUCAAGUCAGUGAGGGCUUCUUUACUGGGAUAUUAAUUCAUGCUUUCUGAAGCUCACUGUAGCAUCUGCUUCAUCAAGCACAUCUUUCUAGUAAAAAAUAGUUCUUUAUUCCUAACCUAUGGACUAUAAAUCUCCUAAGCUACGUCUCUGGGUACCUGUAAAAUUGCUGAGUAAAUAAGGAGCAGAGUCAUCAUCAGAAUAACAACAAUAACAUUUUUUGACUACUGAACUCAGCUACAUGCUGUGGAUGUGGGUUUACCAAAGAGACUGACUAUUGCUAGCUUCCUUUCUGAUGUGCAGAUUUCACAUCUCAAUUGCACUGCCUGUAACUGCUAUAUUAAUAUACUGUAUAUUUUAAUACAUAUUGUAUGAUAUCUUAGGCAAUAACAUAUCGAUGUGAAGUUCCAUAAAACAUGCUGUAACAUUCUUUUUGAAAAACAAGAUAAAAUGACACUAAAAUAAAACUGAAGGAUUUAUACUUGUUUGAACAAUGGUUGUGCCUUUGAGAAGCCAAUAGUUAUUAUGUUGAAAAAGGUAAAUCUAUAAAUAAGAUUUAAAGAACACAGAUGCAUAAAGCACAGAGGAAAGAGAGUGGCUUCCUGGAGUCUAAAUGUACCUGCCACUUGCUUACUUCUGAUCUCAGUUAACAUGAGUAAAUUAGGUUGCUGCUUUUCAUCAUCUGUUCUCAGAUUGGUGUCAAGGACUACUUUAGUGUCUCAGAACAUGUUUUAUGUUAGGAAUAUAUGACCAGUGUGGAAGUGAAAGAGGACCCUGUUGGCACCACAGGCAUGUGUGGAGGGAGAGGGCAAGAGUUUUUAGAAUGAACUGAAUAGACCAGCUGGAAAGUAACUGGUCAGUUGAACAGAUGAUAUUGAGAAGAGGCCAUCAUAGGAGAUGAGGAAGUAAUUUUGUUAAAAUGUAUACUCUUAUCCUAUGAAGGUUUGUUUAUAUAUUUACUCUCAUGAUGACGAGUAACUUUCAUGACUUCAUUGGAAUUAUUGUUUAAGAUUAUCACAUGCUUUUCAUCUUUGCUGAAGACAGAUUUACAAAGAAAUAAUUGUCAGAACGUUUUUCAUCUUACAGUCAGGUGCUGCCUUGGUUAUGAAAUUGAUAACAUUGCCUAUCACAGAAUCAUAGAAUCGCUCAGAACCUUAAAGAUCAUAGAGUCCAACCACGACCUAUCCAUACUACCCUAAUUCUAAGAACCCUCUGCUAAAUCAUGUCUCUAUCAGUAUACACUGGAUACUGAAUCUUCUUAAUGAGAACCAAGACAGCAGUUGGGCCUGCAUUCCUUGGCUGUAGAUGGAGGAGAGCAUGCAGAAACCAAGAAACAGCAUGGGAUGAAAGUAAGAAUAGCAGGAUGCUGGAAAAGGAGCAGUGGGAAGUUGCUCAGAAAGGCUCCUGGAGGCAAAAAGUGCUGCAAAUGGAGAAAUGUAGAAAGGCAGAUGCAUGCCUUACAUUCAAAUAACAGCCUUUUUAAUGGCUGAAAAAACAGCUCUAGUCUAAUAUUGAAAUCAUGCUACACUUUUCUGUAUCAGAACAUGAGACAUCUAAUUGCACAGCAUAGUAACACAGAAACCUUUGUUACCAAAAGAAACUACCCUAAACAGACCCGCUGCAUGAAUUUGUAACGCUUUAUUUGUUUCUUUUUAAUAAUAUAAUUAUCUAUAGAUACUGAGUGUCUAAUCUCCAUUUACCUAAGUUCUGUGUACAACCCAUACAACUCCAUGUACCCUAAUCCACCCAUAAUGACUGAAUUAUUGUUGGUGUUGGACAUGUCAAACUGCAGCAGGGAAGCAGUAACACCUGAGAUUACGACUUGUUUUCUCCUCUGGUACUUGCAGCUUAAUUCCAGGUGAGGGGUAAAUGCCUUCCUCCACCAGUCUUCACAAACUUAGGCUGCUGUCCUGGUGACAGUAACCUUUUCUUCAGAGGACUGAUCCCAGCUCUCUCUAUUCUUUUAACAUUCAGGUAGGGAUGGGUGUUUUCUUUAGAUCAGAGCAUUCACCAAGGCAGUGAGACACCCAUGUGUCCUGCAGUGUGAAAUGGUUCAAGCAUGUUAAUUAGUUGGGUAUGUGCAAGAAGCUUCCUGAAUCUAUUUCAAAGCUGCUGAAGAUGCUACUCUGAAGGAGCCAUGGUGCAGUUACUGGAGGUGCUAUAGAUGUACUGCCCUUCAGCAUGGGGGCUCAGGACUCCUGCAUUCUGGCUGAGUGCUUUAGCUGGCAAGAGGAUGAAGAGGACUUAAAGCUGAGGUGGAGUGUAGCUGUAAUGCAGUGGAGUGUUAAGUGGAAUGUAAGCAUUCAUUGCCUCAGGACAGGCACCUAUAGGCAUAUUUAGGAAAAUAAAAUCCUCAAGAAAUUUCAGACAAAGCAGGGAUAUUCCUGGUAGAUCUUGGUCUUGUGCUGAUUUCGAUCCCCUAAAUUAGCUAUAUUUCUGGAAUGAAUCUUCCUAACACUAAGCUCAGUUGGUCAGAAAAAAAUGACAAAAAUGAAUUUAAAUAAAAAACUAAACUGAAAAUAUUUUUAAUUCAUUCCUUCUUUCUUUCCUUUUUAUGGCCUCUUAUGAAUUCGAGCUGUUUCUCAGAAUUUCUCUCUGGAGGUCUCUUCUAUCUCUCUCCUUAGGUUUCUCAGAUUUAGAGAGAAAUAUAAAGACUAUUUUUACUUCUACACAGGGAUUAAUAGAAUCCUGCCUGUCUAGCUGCAGGGUAAAUCAGCACAAUUUCCCUGUAUGCCAAAUGCCAGGAGUUUGUCAUAGAUAUGCUUAAGCCCUACCAUUAAAUGUGGUUUGUAGUACGUGUUGUGUACUAUUAGUGGUUAGCUAGGGAAGAAUGAUACAAAUGAUGACCAAAAGACUAGUUAAGACCCACUUCCAAAUGUCCUGUGACCGUAUCCCCAAAUUGGCAGCAGAUCUGCUUUGCUGAUCAUAAAUGUUAUACUAUUUGGAUGGACUUUUUAAACCCUGCCAUUUUGGGGCAUUUAAAAAUAAAAGGAUAAACAAAACCACAUCUGGUCUACAAAUGUGCGUGUCAUGUUUGAGCUUGAUGCAGUUUCGAAUUAGUUGUUAAACACUGAAAAGCAGGGUUCAUAAGGGAAAUGCCUACUCAGCUGAUUGUAGUGCAACUGGUGUAACUGUAAUAGAAGCCAGACACUCCUUGAAAUAGCAGACAACUGCGUAUGGCUAUGGAGGAAUAGAGGGAAAGAAAAGCCAGAUGGUGUACUUAGCUGCACUUAAAAUCUGAUUGUGUGUGUCAAUAACGAAUGCCCAAAUAAGAUUCUUUCAUUUAAAAAAAGAAAAAAAGAAUAUAUGUGCAUACUAGUAGAAUACAUGCAACCCUACAGAAAAAAACCAUGUGGAUUCCAUUGCUGUGAUGGUGGUUAUUGUAAUGACCAGUUAACCUGCAUUUGCUGCAGUUGUCUAAAUUCUUAAACAUUAAAUAUUUUACAACACAAUAACAAAAUAACUAAAUCAUAAGGAUAAUCCUGACAAACAGAAAAUAUUUAUGGCCCAUUUUCUUAGAAAUACAAAUGGUUGCUUUUGCUUAGGUUGCUGGAAAAAGUUGCUUACUGGAUGCCACAGUCUUAAAAAACUUUCCCUUAUUUGGAUGUUAGAAUGAAUUUCUGGCAGGGUCAUCUGAGUCCUUCAUUAUUUCUAGGUAGAUUAAAUGGUUUAUUAGGGGUGAAACUUGGGCCUUGUGCUAAUCAAUGGAAACUUUACAAAUCAGCCACAGCAUCACACCUAUAAAUAAACGUUUCAUGCAAGACUUUAAAAUAAAGAAUUUCUGCUAUGUAUGGAAAUUAAUGUUUCCCACAGUUACUCAGUCUUAUAGAAAGAAUUUACUUGGCUGAAGUAUGUAUAAACAAUUAAAGAAUAAAUAUCUCUAUAAUUCCUCUAUAUCUCCUCUCCUCCCUCUUCACUUCUUUCUCUCUUUCUCCACAGUGGAGAGAUUAUGAACCCCUUGCACUGAGUGUAUUUACUAUUAGCAGCCCCACUGAGUUUAGCAGAAAAGCUUUUGCACUAAGAUGUUAAUCAUUUUAAGUAAAGUCAGCAAAAGGUGGUCAUAAAUAAGCAUCAAAUGCUGUGAAACUUAAUCAUAUUAAUCAGAUUCUUUUCCAUGUCUUAUCUGUAUGUGUUCAGAUGGCACUGCAUAAAGCUAUGCAAUGAUACUACCCCAGAUACACUGGCUAAAGCCAAUUUAUCAAGUGUUUCUUUUCACAGUGUUUUUUCUCUUUCACAGUGCUUCCACUUCUGGAACUAGCAGAGUUUCUUCUAGCUGGAGAAACAGCAGCACUAGUUGCAGCGACACUCAUAGAGUUUGGGCUUUCAAAUCUCUAAAGUACUUUUGAAAUUUGUAUUUAAUAUUUAUUACCCCCUUCAAAGUGCAAUUCAGUGGAGUAGCAGAAGAGAAUUGGAUUGCCUUUCAUUAGUUUCCUGACCCCUUAUCUAAUGUAAAAACCUAUUUUAAUUGCUCAUAUCUUUGCCAAAUCUUAAAAAUCGCCAUGUACAGCAUUAAAUGAGCCCCAAUGGGUGUGAGCAUUAUGACAUUGUCUAAUUACAUGAUCACAUUUGAAUUUUGUUUUAAACUAUUUGUGCUCUAGUCUGUGCACAGGACAGAAGGAGCUUAGUUCAAAAGCAAAUAUUCAAUUUUAGUUCUCUUCCCAUUGCUCAAUAUGUCCCCCAUGCCUUAUUUACUGCAUGGUAUCCGAACCCUGCUAUGAAGAUAAUUACUAUGUCCCUUCCAGGUUUUUUUAUGGUUCUUGUUGCUAUAGUACCUGAGCAUUUAACAAACUUUAAUGAAUUUAUGUGCACAAAACCUCUGAGGUGGGUAGUGGUAUUAUUCCGUUUUGCAUGUACUGAACUGAGACACAGAGAGAUGGAAAAAAAAAAGCACAAGCCUUCAAAUAUGUCAGAUUUGAAGUGAGGUCUGAGUUUUUGGUGUGCUUCUUUACAUACUAAAAAUACUGUACACUUUGUAUACCAGAGGUAUCAAAUCAGUCACCCAGAAAAUCAGAAGUGAACAAAUAGAGCAAACAAAAGACCAAUUUAAGUCACCUGCCCAGUACCUAUAGAGUGACAUAAAUCCAGAGUUCCAGACCAUUGCUUAGAUGUCUUGCCUUGAGACCAUUUUUCUCUUCCUGAAUUCUUUACCUGAACAAUCCAGCUCUAUAGCAAAUGAGACACAGGUCUGUACAGCAGGGCAGGUCCAAAUCCUUUUCUCAACACACUAGAAGAACACUGCCUGUUCAUGUAAGUCAACUGAUGAUGGGAAGCAAUUAAGAAGAGCUCAGCAAGGGCAAGGUUGUGGUAGAGAUGGCAAACAAGUUUUCUGCUCUGAUGGUCACUGUAGAGAGACUGGAAGGAGACCCAAACCCUUUGAGAGGACUCAGCAAGAAAAGUCUGAAACAAAAGAUUUUGUGGAAGAAGUAAUUGAAUAAAGAGACAGAAUAAAAUAUGUUAAAAUAUCA
Long non-coding RNA from Tympanuchus pallidicinctus (lesser prairie-chicken), 6014 nucleotides. RefSeq lists it as uncharacterized. Lineage: Eukaryota; Metazoa; Chordata; Aves; Galliformes; Phasianidae. The transcript has 3 exons. The record is from RefSeq and is a predicted model, not a curated record.